UAACAUUGAAAUUUCGAAUGGCCUUGAUAACCCAUGUGUUGCUGAGAACUUUCCAUCUGAGAACAUAACUUCACUCUCAAGAUGUAAAGUUGAAUCUUCUGCAAAAUUGGAGAGCUCUGAAUCAUCUAGCAAAGCAUCUGAUGACCGAGGUUUUAGGAAGAUUGAAAAGUGUAGCCAAAUUGCUUUGCGUAAUGUUGUUGAGAUUCACCUAGGUGAUGCAAAGCCAUUAGAUUCUACAAAAGUUGAUAUUGAGAAAGCACUGAAAGGAUUGGUUGUUCGAGAUAAAUCUUCCAUACCUGGUUCAUUUAUCGGUGCUUCUAGCAAUAAAAAUGAUCUACCUUCAGCUUAUGUAAGAAAAUUAUCUCCUGAAUUUCACAUAUCAGGACGUAGGGCUCCUUUAGA
Molecule: long non-coding RNA, 402 nt
Organism: Phalaenopsis equestris
Lineage: Eukaryota; Viridiplantae; Streptophyta; Magnoliopsida; Asparagales; Orchidaceae
Exons: 3
Source: RefSeq, a predicted model, not a curated record